RNAcentral lists this ribosomal RNA (421 nucleotides) under uncultured bacterium. RNAcentral's name for it is "bacterial SSU rRNA". It matches the Rfam family "Bacterial small subunit ribosomal RNA", at positions 355 to 793 of the family's 1533-position model. The record is from RNAcentral.
UGGGGAAUAUUGGACAAUGGGCGAAAGCCUGAUCCAGCCAUGCCGCGUGAGUGAUGAAGGCCUUAGGGUUGUAAAACUCUUUCGCCGGGGAAGAUAAUGACGGUACCCGGAGAAGAAGCUCCGGCUAACUUCGUGCCAGCAGCCGCGGUAAUACGAAGGGAGCUAGCGUUGUUCGGAAUUACUGGGCGUAAAGCGCACGUAGGCGGGCUAUUAAGUCAGGGGUGAAAUCCCGAGGCUCAACCUCGGAACUGCCUUUGAUACUGAUAGUCUUGAGAUCGGGAGAGGUGAGUGGAAUUCCUAGUGUAGAGGUGAAAUUCGUAGAUAUUAGGAAGAACACCAGUGGCGAAGGCGGCUCACUGGCCCGAUACUGACGCUGAGGUGCGAAAGCGUGGGGAGCAAACAGGAUUAGAUACCCCGGUAG